This is a long non-coding RNA of Salvia splendens (bonfire salvia), 433 nucleotides long. RefSeq lists it as uncharacterized. The record is from RefSeq and is a predicted model, not a curated record. NCBI's taxonomy places the organism in Eukaryota, Viridiplantae, Streptophyta, Magnoliopsida, Lamiales, Lamiaceae. The transcript is spliced from 2 exons.
UGCUUCACCAAGACAGACAGACAGAAAGAAAGGAAGAGAGAGAAAGAUGGAGAUGUUGAAAAGUGAGAUUCCAGUGGAGAAGGAAACAGUGUUGAUAUCUGAGGAUGCAAAGGCUGGUUUAGUUCUUGUAGACAUCAUCAAUGGCUUCUGCACCGUUGGAGCUGGCAACCUAGUCAGACAAAACACCUACAAGCUCACCCCCAAGAGCUUAUGCAUCAUAUAGGCCUUUACAUGGCUAAGGGAAGAGGGGCCAAGAUCGCCACACAACUCAACUUUCAUCACUGAGAAGAGAUUCGUCUUAUUAAUUUAAUAUGUAAUGACCUAAACAGAACACAUGUAUCUUCUACUAUUAAAUAAAUAAGCUCAUGUAUAUCCAGCCCCUUCUGAAUUCAAAUACCAAGUCAAGGACACAGUUCCUGCCUUCAAUCAUAAA